AUGGGCGCAUUGGCUAAAUUUCCAUGUAGGUCUGGGUUUCGUUUCAUGUGAAGGAACCAAAUCCCAACGUUUACCGUUUCUGAUUACGGCAAGCAAGAAAGCAGUGAAACAUAUGCGGAAUUAGACCUCUCACCUACACAGACUCAGGAUUGACGAGUUUGCGUUAGAUCAAAGUAAUAAACAUACCCACACAAUUACAUGUACGCGCAUAGGUUCGCCUAACUUUCUUCCAGAACAAAGCAAAAUUUGGCAACAAACAACCUCCUUCGCAACGCCACGGUAUCAAUCGGAUCGGGGCAAUUCCAGUUAAGAGGGAGAUCCUGAUGGUGAUUGAGACUUGGCCUUGAUUUAUAAAGGGGUUUCGAGUGGGGAGCAAAAACGGAGGGGAUCGGAUGGACAAGAACAAGAGUCGUACCGAUCUGCUCGCUGCGGGACGGAAAAAGCUUCAACAAUUUCGCCAGAAGAAGGAUGGUAAAGGAAGUAGCAGUCAAGGAAUGUCUUCCAAAAGAUCUAACAAAUCCGAGCAGCAUGAAUCUGAUGCUGGUGCAGCAUCUUCUGUUGCCAAACCAAAAGUCUCUUCGCAGGUCUCUGAAGGGGAAGUUGCUGCUGUUGACUUGGCAGCAUUGCAGUCUAUGGAGAGUUCAUUGCCUUCUGGGCUUGAUACUACUGCAGUUGUUUCAUCACUGGAGCCCAUUGCAUCUGCGACAGUCAAUGUCAAGACUGUAGUAGCCCAUAAUGCAGGAGUACCCACUGACUUGGUAGCCCUUGGUGAGUGUGAUGUUGAUUCUUCAGUCCCUAAUGGAGGGGAAAGUACUCAGAGUGUUGACAGUUUGACAAGCACAGAAAUACCUUGCUCACCUGAGGAUAUCCCAGCUUUUGAAGGGGAAACAAAAGAUGAUGUUGUGCCACAUCCAUCUGCUUCAGUUGAUAACAUGGAAGGGACAGUAGUUAAACUUGAUUUGGCAGGUGUCAACAAGGAAAUGGGGCAGAAUCCGCUGCUUUCACAAGACUAUUUUCCUGAUAUAUCCUUGUCUCAAGCAAGGGGAGAUCAGGUAACAGAUGUAGGGGCAAUGCAGGAAUCUGAUGGUUUGGGGUUGAACCAAGUUGAUAGAGGUGGUGAAACAGAGUUUGAAGUUGAUGGUAGACUUCCUUUGUCUGAGUACGGUGAAUGUGCUGAACCUCUUGGAGGGACAACUUCAGAAGUAACUAGCAUGGAGGGGCCAUCCAGCGAGGCAGAACAGGCUGUCAGCGGAGAUGAUGCAUCUGUAUGUACUGGGGCAGCCAGCUGUUCCCAGGCAGAUGGAAGUUUGGCUGCUAAUUCUCAGUUGACAACUAAGCAGGCUGAAGAUGUAAUACCUUGUUCAUCUGUUGAAGAAGAACAAGAAAUGUGCUCUCCAUUUGGUGAUUAUGGUUGUAACAAGACUUUAGAAGGAGAUCAGAAAUGUUUACCAAAGGGCUCCUUUGUGUCUCAGGAUAGAAGUCAUGAAAGAUCUCUUCAGAUGAAAGGGGCAAGUUCAUCAGAUCUGACUCUGACUCUGACUCUUUUCAGAGAUGGUUCUCCAGUCAGACUCUCUCAGUUAGUAGAGCUGAUAAGAAGUCUUGAUGAAGAUGAAUAUAGGCUUCUGCUAAACUUGCAAGAAUUGGUUUCUGUUGCAAAUGUUGGGACUGAUAAUUUAGCACCAUCUUACCAUCCAGAUUUAUUUGAGAAAUUGAAAGAGGAAUUAUAUCUCACAAGUCUUAAAAAAGAUAUAUUUUACUUACAGCUUUCUGAGCAGUCAGAUCUGCAUUUGGAAUCUGAUCGGCAUUGUCAGCAGCUUAUUGAUGAGAUAUCUGUGCUUCGCACUUCAGUCAAUGAGGUUCACGAGGGGAAUGCAUGCCUUGCAGAAGAGCUAGCACGAUGCAGGUCUGAACUCCAUGUUUUUGCUAGUGGAAGGGAGGAGCUGCAAAACCAAUUUCAUACUGCUUUGGCACGGGCUGAGGAGUUUUCUUCUAGAGCAAAUGAGUUGCAGAUUAGACUGGAAAGGUCACAAGAGGACUUAUCAAGCCUCUUGUCUGAAUUAGCUGAGUGCAAGAAUCAGGUGGACACUUUACAGCUGGAUAAUGAGAACUUGAAUAGGACUCUUCAUUUGCUAUCUGAGGAGAGAAAGACACUUGCAGAGGAAAAGGAAUCUUCUCUCAAUGAGAAUGAAAAACUGUCAAUAGAGUUAGCUAGAUGCAAGGAUUUGGUGGUAACUUUCCAGGAGGAGAGUGAGCAGUUAAAUUUGAGUCUUGCUUCACUGACUGAGGGGAGAAACACACUAGUGGAUGAGAAAAUGUUGUCUAUUCGUGAGAAUGAGAAGCUACUGACAGAAUUAGCUGACUGCAAGGUUUUGAUUGCGGCUUUACAGGUGGAACAUUCUGACAUAAGCAAGAAUCUUGCUCUAAUGACGGAACAGAGAAUGAAGCUUGAAGAAGAAAAGGAGUUUCUUGCUCAUGGGAAAGAGAAAGCAGAGCUUGACUUGGAAGAGUGUAAGGAUUUGUUGGCUGCUUUACAAGUUGAAAGGUCCAACUUGAAUGGGAACCUUGCUUUCGUUACAGAGGAGAAAAGGAAGCUUGAGGAGGACAAGGAGUAUUUUGUCCAUGAGAACAAGAGACUUGCUACUGAGCUACUUGUUCUUCAAGAGCAGCUAACUAAAGAACGUGGGGAACACAUACAACUUGAGGCUGAGCUAAAAGAUGUAACAGUACGCCUAGAGAAGCUAAUGGAGGAAAAUUGUUUUCUCAAUGCCAGUCUGGACAUACAUAAGGCCAAGAAAGUGGAAAUUGAUGGUAAGGAAACCCACAAUGUUGAAGCAGCGAGUCAAGUAAAAAGUUUGGAUGUGGAUAGCGGGGUCCAUGAAAAUGAACAUUCCUGUAAAAGCCCUUGGAAACGAGAUCCUGAAGUAUCCUCUAUGGUAUUGGAGAAAGCCUUACCUGAUGAUGUUGUUGGUGGGCCAUCACUUGUGCUGCUUGAGCAGGAAGUCUUUGAUGAUUCUUCUGGUUUUCUUGUCUUGAAGGGACACUUGAAGGAGGCUGAGAGAAUAUUGCAAAACCUUGGAAAGGCAAUUGAACAGAUGUACUCUCAUUCAGCCUCAGUACAGUGCUCCAGCAGUAAAUCGGCUGCACCAGGAGUAUCAAAACUGAUUCAAGCCUUCGAGUCAAAGGUGCAUCAUGAUGAACCUGAGGUUGAGGAAAGAGAUUUGACGGAAUACCAAUUACUGGGAGACCUGUUUAAUUCAACUAAAGAGGUAACAGAAAAUCUGAGAGCAAUGCUUAAGCUCUUGGGUCAGGAUGCUGAUAAUGCCAGUUCACUCUAUAGAGGAGAGAGGGAUAGUAGAAAAUCUUCUAAUUUCUCAUUUGGUGAGCUCAGGGUUCAACAUGCAUCUUUGAAGGAAUACAGUGAUAAUCUUGAAGCAAUCAGCAUCGAGCUGGGGAUUUUGUAUGAAGCUGCUAAGCAACAUGCAUUUUUAAUUGAAGCUAAGAACAAUGAACUUGAGGUUCUCUAUGAAGCUCUAAAGCAGAAAGAAAGUGGCCUCAGUUCAGAAAAUGCUGAGCUUGGUGAGAAAUUGAUUGAGUAUCAGUUGAGACUUACGGAAAUGGAGGGUCAAUUUUCUGAUUUACAGCAAAGGUCAGAUGAGAUGGCUUCUGCUUUAAAUCGACAGUUAGAAAGUUCGAGGAAGGAAGCAGCUGAGAGGGCAUUGACGCUUGAACUAGAAUGGAAAUCUACAGUUACUCAGAUUGUUGAAACGGUCAGGAGGCUUGAUGAGUCUGUUGGGAGGGUUUCCAACUCCAGCUUCUCAAAUAACAGCAAUGAUAUCUUGGAUACAAAUAGCCAGGUUGCUACAUCUGUUAGUUCUGCCAUUAAUUCUAUCCAGGAUCUACAAGAGAAACUAGAAGCUGCUUAUGCAGAUCAUGAUGCAAUGUCUAAUUCAUUCAAAGAAGUCAAUGAGAAGUAUAAUGAUUUGCUCAGGAAGAAUGAAUUGAUGACAGGGAUACUACAUGAGUUGUACAAUGACCUGAAGAAACUUGUGAUUGAUUCAUGUGCAUAUGUGGGCGAGGCUGAGGUGAAUGUGCUAGUCCAGAAGCUGCCUGAGCCCUUAGAUUACAGCAAGUAUAAGAUCUUUGUCAAACAACUGGAGAAUGUUUUGGGUGAAAGGAUGCAGCUUCAGUCUGUUAAUGACCAACUUAAUUCAGAAUUGAUGAAUAGGACAAGGGGCUUUGAGGAAAUGAGCAGAAAGUGCCUUAAUUCAAAUGCCAUUCAAAAGCUUAUAGAACAUGUUGAGAAUGUUGUAAAACUGGAAGACUAUGAGAGUGACUCAGAUAAAGCACCUGGUUCCUGCCUUGAAUUGUUAGUUUGUUUGCUUGUUAAGAAAUACAAAGAAAUUGUUGAGCAGGUGAGUGAUUGUAGACAGGAGUUUGGAUCUAAGGUGGCUGAACUGACAGAAGUAGAGGAAAAGAUACAUCAGUUAGAUGCACUGAGACUUCAGCAGGAACUGGAAAUCCUUACUCUGAAAGAAAGUUUGCGGCAUGAAGAGGAAGCCCUUAUGGGUGCACGUUCCGAGUUAGAGGCAAAAAUAAGUGAACUUGAACAGUCAGAGCAGCGAGUGUCUUCUGUUAGGGAGAAGCUUAGCAUAGCUGUGGCCAAAGGGAAAGGUUUGGUGGUGCAGCGUGAUGGUCUUAAACAAUCACUUGCAGAGACAUCUGCUGAACUAGAGAGAUGCUCUCAGGAAUUACAGGCAAAAGAUUGCCGGCUUCAGGAAUUAGAAAUAAAACUGAAGACUUACUCAGAGGCAGGUGAACGUGUGGAAGCUCUGGAAUCUGAACUUUCAUACAUUCGCAACUCAGCUACUGCAUUAAGAGAAUCAUUUCUUCUCAAAGACUCUGUACUGCAGAGAAUUGAAGAGAUUUUAGAAGACCUAGAUCUGCCAGAGCAUUUCCAUUCUAGAGAUAUAAUUGAAAAGGUUGAUUGGUUAGCGAGGUCCACCACCAGUAAUUCUUUGCCUCCCACUGAUUGGGAUCAGAAAAGUUCUAUCGGAGGUUCACACUCUGAUGCAGGUUUUGUCACUGUGGAUACCUGGAAAGAAGAUGCACAACCAAGCUCAACUUUAGGGGAGGACUUGAAAAGAAAAUAUGAGGACCUUCAGAGCAAAUUUUAUGGGUUGGCAGAACAAAACGAAAUGCUGGAACAGUCUUUAAUGGAAAGGAACCAUUUGGUGCAAAAAUGGGAGGAACUUUUGGAUUUAAUCGAUGUGCCUUCACAGUUGCGGUCCAUGGAACCUGAAGAAAAGAUUGAAUGGUUAGGAGGGGCAUUUUCAGAGGCUAAUCAUGAUAGAAAUUCUUUGCAGAAGAAGAUUGAUAACCUUGAAAAUUAUUGUGGGUCACUAGCUGCUGAUUUGGAAGAGUCUGAAAAGAGAGUAUCUGACGUUGAGGCAGACCUUCAAUCAGUUACUCUUGAGAGGGAUCAUCUUGCUGAAAGAUUAGAGACUUUAACUUCUGAUCAUCAUAACCUUUCGGCGAAGGCAGCUCAUUUUGAACUUGAGAAUGAAAAACUUCAGAUUAAAGUUAGUGGUUUGCAGGAAGAAUUGUCUAAGAGGAUUGAGGAGGAGGAACAUCUUCUCAAGAUGGAAGGUGAAAUAAGGAGAUUGCAGUACUUGGUAUCUGAUGUGUUGCAGGAUCCAGAGGCAAAAGAUUUGGUUUCUGGUGGCAGUAGUACUGCAUGCUUGGAAAGAUUACUGGAGAAACUUAUAGAGAAUUACACUAAUCUCAAGUCUGUGAAUCCUGAACUUGUGGAUAUUGAAAUGGACCAGACCAAGCUACCUGAUGCAACCCUUGAUGAAGCUAGAAGCAGGGAUACAAUGACUACUCAGGAGGAUGUAGCUUCUUUAAAGAAAGAGCUGGAGGAAAGGCUGCAUGACUUGAUGCAAGUGAAGGAGGAAAGAGAUGAAAUCCUUGGAAAGCAUCAAUCUUUGCUUCAUGAAGUUGAAGCACUCGAAAGGAAAACGGUGGAGUUGCAGGAGCUACUUAAUCAAGAAGAGCAGAAGUCAGCUUCUGGGAGAGAAAAGUUAAAUGUUGCUGUUAGAAAAGGGAAAUCUUUGGUGCAACAACGGGACAGUCUGAAGAAAACCAUUGAAGAGAUGAAUGCUGAACUGGAACAGUUGAAAUCUGAGCUUAGUGACCGGGAAAAUACUCUGUCUGAUUAUGAAUUGAAGAUGAGGGAAUUCUCUGCUUACCCUGAAAGAGUAAAAGCCUUAGAAGCUGACAGUUUGUUCUUAAGGAAUCAUCUGACAGAAACUGAGCACAUGUUGGAGGAGAAAGGACAUAUUUUAACUAGGGUAUUAAAUGCAAUAGCUGACAUUGAUGUUGGUGUUGAAAUUGAAAUGUUUGAUCCGGUGGAGAAGUUGGGACGAAUUGAGAAAGUGUGCCAUGAUUUGCAUGCAGCUGUGGUUUCUUCUGAACAAGAGUCACGGAAGUCGAAGAGAGCUGCAGAGCUACUGCUUGCAGAGUUGAAUGAAGUGCAAGAGAGAAACGAUGGUCUGCAGGAAGAUUUAGCAAAAGUUGCCAGUGAACUUACAGAAGUCAUGAAGGAAAGGGAUGCGGCAGAGGCUGCAAAACUUGAAGUUCUCUCACGUCUUGAAAAGUUAUUUACAGUUCACUCUGAAGAAAAAAGGAAACAGUAUUCUGAAUUAAUGAUGUUACAAUCUAGUGUAAAUGAACUGAGGACGGGUGUCAAUGAUAUUCAUAAUCUUUUGUCCAAUGUUUUCUCAAAGGACUUGGAAUUUCUGCAAAAUUUGGAGGCUAACAUUAGUUCAUGCUUGGAAGCAGAUGAUGCCCAAGAUGCGUCUGGCUCACCAUACAGUAUAUCCAGCAAUUUAGAGGAAAAGGUGAACUUUCAAUCCAUGGAUGCUUGGUCAGUCGUCAAUAUGCAGGACCUUAUGGAUGACAAUGCUAUAGUCAAAGUUUGCAGUUUAAUCAGGCAUCACCUGCAAGAUUUGACAACUGAAAUUACUACACUCAAAGAAAAGUUGAUUGUGCAGUCAAAAUCAUUACAUGGACAAAGUCAAAGUAUAUGGAAUGCACUGGGGAUCUUGCAUAGAGAAAGAAAUUAUCUGAAAGAGUCAUUUGAAGCUAUGAGGAGGAAUAUUCUGCAUAUAGAAUCAGUUGGGAAAGAGAAAGAUAUGGAGAUUGUUGUGUUGAGAAGAAACAUUGCGUUGCUUUAUGAAGCAUGUGCUAAUUCAGUCUUGGAAAUUGAAAAUAGAAAAGCCGAGCUAUUAGGAAAUAAUUUGGCUACUGCAGGUCUGGUGACUAACAUGAAGCCUGCAAUAUUAGCUGAUGGAGGACUUUCUUUUGGUGGACAAAAUAGUGUUUUGUCUGAGGAACAUAUCAAAACUAUGGCAGAUAAACUUUUGUCAAUGAUGAAAGAUUUUUCGAGCAUGAAAGCUGAAAUUACUGAAGGAAACCAAAGGGAAAUGAAAAUUACCAUAGCAAAUUUGCAGAAAGAGCUUCAGGAGAAGGACAUCCAGAAAGAAAGGAUAUGCAUGGAGCUUGUUGGUCAAAUCAAGUUAGCUGAAGCUGCUGCCACGAAUUACUCACGAGAUCUUCACUCUUCAAAAACACUGGUGUAUGAUUUGGAGAAAGAACUGGAAGUAAUGAGGGAAGAACUGACGUCAUUGCAGCAGAGAGUAAAAGAACUGCAGGAUGUGCAAGCAAACACAGAGGAAUUGCAGGGUAGAGUCAAAUCACUGACAGAUGUGUUAUCAUCCAAAGACCAAGAAAUUGAGGCACUUAUGCAAGCACUUGAUGAGGAGGAGUUUCAAAUGGAAGAGUUGACAAAGAAGGUUGAGGAACUAGAAAAAGUCCUGCAACAGAAGAACACAGAUUUAGAGAACCUUGAAGCUUCCCGUGGAAAGAUUGUGAAAAAGCUUUCCAUCACUGUAAGCAAGUUUGAUGAGCUUCAUAAUCUAUCAGAAAGUCUUCUUACCGAGGUUGAACAGCUGCAAUCACAACUACAAGAUCGGGAUGCUGAGAUUUCCUUCUUAAGACAAGAGGUUACCAGAUGCACCAAUGAUGCUCUUGCUGCAUCACAAAUGGGCAAUAGAAGAGACACAGAUGAGAUAUAUGAGUUUCUAACUUGGUUUGAGGCAGUUGUUUCUCGUGUUGGGUUACCUGAUCUGCAUUUUGAUACGAAUAAUAGUCAGGUGCCUGAAUACAAGGAAAUAAUACAGAAAAAGAUUAGUUCUAUUAUAUCUGAACUAGAGGACCUACGGGGGGUUGCUCAAAAUAGGGAUGAAUUGUUGCAAGCAGAACGGAGUAAAGUGGAGGAGUUGACACGCAGAGAAGAAACUCUUAAGAAGACUUUGCAUGAGAAGGAAUCCCAAUUAAAUUUGCUUGAAGGUGUGGGAGAUGUGGGUCAGGCAGCUAGUUUGAAUUCUGAAAUUGUGGAAGUUGAACCUCUGAUAAACAAGUGGACAGUAGCAGGGACCUCUACAGCAUCCCAAGUUCGUAGUUUGCGUAAAGUCAAUAAUGAUCAAGUUGCUAUUCCUAUAGAUAUGGAUGAUGGUAGUAAUAGUAGGUUAGAAGAUGAAGAUGAAGAUAAAGUACAUGGUUUCAAAUCACUUACCACAUCAAGAGUUGUUCCAAGGUUUACGAGACCGAUAACUGAUAUGAUUGAUGGAUUGUGGGUUUCUUGUGAUCGAGCGCUCAUGCGACAACCUGCCUUAAGGCUUGGCAUUAUAAUAUAUUGGGCUGUACUGCAUACACUGUUGGCAGCUUUUGUAUUUUGACGAGCCAGGUUAGUAGUGGCCUCUUUCCCAGAUGUAGUUAUUUCAUGGAGUUCUAGGAUCGUGCUUGGUUAUCCAUUGUUUGUGUCAAAGUUUAGCAAGGAGAGCCAACCAUGAUUCUGCCUUCAAAUGCUUACCAGGCUCCAUAAUCUUUUUUUUUUCCUUUUCUAAACAUUGGUUCAUUAUUUAGCUCAACCAGGCAACUUUGAUUUGCGGUUUUUAUUUGUAUGCAUCUCAGAUUGCUUGGUUAUGUCCAAUAAGGAAAAAUCCUUGUUACAAUUAUGUAUGGCAUAGUUUAAGGAUUGUUCACUUUGAACCAA
Molecule: RNA transcript, 9115 nt
Organism: Durio zibethinus
Lineage: Eukaryota; Viridiplantae; Streptophyta; Magnoliopsida; Malvales; Malvaceae
Gene name: nucleoporin
Source: RefSeq, a predicted model, not a curated record